This 220-nucleotide ribosomal RNA is filed under the name uncultured bacterium. RNAcentral's name for it is "partial 16S ribosomal RNA". It matches the Rfam family "Bacterial small subunit ribosomal RNA", at positions 556 to 775 of the family's 1533-position model. The record is from RNAcentral.
GGGCGUAAAGCGAACGUAGGCCGGUUUGUAAGUCAGGAGUGAAAUCCCGGGGCUCAACCUCGGAACUGCCUUUGAUACUGCGAACCUAGAGUCCGGAAGAGGUGGGUGGAAUUCCUAGUGUAGAGGUGAAAUUCGUAGAUAUUAGGAAGAACACCGGUGGCGAAGGCGGCCCACUGGUCCGGUACUGACGCUGAGGUGCGAAAGCGUGGGGAGCAAACAG